RNAcentral lists this long non-coding RNA (4276 nucleotides) under Salmo salar (Atlantic salmon). RNAcentral describes it as "lncRNA (ENSSSAG00000122278.1)". The record is from RNAcentral. Lineage: Eukaryota; Metazoa; Chordata; Actinopteri; Salmoniformes; Salmonidae.
UAAGUAUGAAGAGCCAAAAUCCUACUUCAGAUUUAAACCAAAAAAUGGACAGUUGCUGCGUACUGCAUGUAUCUAGGACAACAUGAGAUGGACUGGGGUGAUUAAGGAAGCGAUGAUCAUCUCAAACAUCAAUGCUAAUAUGCAAUCAUUUUAGCCCAUGAGCAACAUUUCUUCAGCAAUGUAACACUUUCAUUGUAUAUUGUCCUUUAGAAGAGUGUUAAAGCACAUUGAUACAUUUUGGAGUAAAAUCAAAAUUCCCAAAUAAAAUUUGAUUUGAUUUGAUUUAAUAUAUACGGUUUUGGUUUUUCUGGCAUCAGGGAGAACGGGACCCAUCUGGUGCUGCAUUAGACCAGCUAGUUAGAAGCAGAUUGGAAGAGUAAAGAAACUGGGAAAUUGCCUCUGUCAAGCCUGCUCGACACUAUGUAUAAAACAUCUCGGAGUAAAAUCUAAAUUCCCAAAAUGGAGUAAUCUAACGACGCAUCUUGAAAAUACAUUCUGAGGCACAUAGAGGAGCUACUUCUCAAUGCAGUACACAAGACGAGGGAACAGGCUUUAGUCUGACGUGUAUAGUAUUGAAUUCGUUUCCCUUCUGUCUACUUUUUAUUUUGGAGUUCUUACAUUGAAAUGUAAAUUGCUUCUCAUGUGGUACUGAACAUUAGUGGGUGUACUGUGUUAAAUUACAUCGCAUGCUACAGCAGAAUGCAUCUCCCACCAAACCGCUUUACUCAGCUUACAAAAUGUAACAAUUCUACAUUCACCUUAUGCAUUCCAUCUUUUUUAAAUUUUAAUAGAGCUCAAUAGGCUCAACUUGGUCACUAAGGUGAAGUAAUGGAUUCAAGGUUAGUAUAAUCUUGCCUCAGGCAUCCCCACCAAAAAGCUGUCUGUCUUAUGGCAGGAUGUCAUUUGAGCUGGUGGAGCAAACCAUUCUCUGGAACAUCCACUGUUUAUUUGGCAGAGCACUCUGGCAGAACUGAUCCUAGACCAGAACAAAAGGCCACCUGACACAGCUGAAGCCCCAUGUGUUGUGUAAUACAGGUCUUGCAUAUCCAUAUCAUUCUUUAUGGGUUCUAGGGUAUAGCUGAGGUGUACAAGAGGAGAAGUCCCCAAAACACAUGAGGAAUGACAACCAGGCGAUACAUCCCUCUUGCCUCUGGCUUUGUCUAGCCAGGCGUAACAUUUUUCAGUGUUCUGCUAGUGAUUUUGGUUCAACAAGUCUUUCGAAGUCAGUCAAAUAAUUUCAAAGGGCUAUGGCUGAUCCUGGCUAAUCCAUUGACUGAAACCCCCAUGAGGCGGACUGUAUGGUUUGAACUAUGUAGACCAGCGCUCAGAGGUCACGUUUGUUUGGCUGACUGGAUCAAACCAGCGAAGACUAAUCCUACAGAAUUAGUCCAUUCGUCAACCGCCUCUUGACCAUAGAGGCAGUAAUCAUUAAAAUGGUUACAAAAGGAAUGCCUGAGUCCUUUUUGAAAAGGCAUGCUGCUUCCCUUUUUAAGGUAAAGGUAAACUGAACCACAUUCCCAACUUAAAAAGUAAAAAGGUUUUUGGCAAAAGGUAACCUUUACAAAGAGUUAUGUCUUUCACAUAAGGAUGUUGUAUCAUAAAAAACUUGCUGAAACAACAUCAUUGAUUUAAGGAAGAGGAGGAAGGGAAGCGCUACUAAGGUACACAAUAGUACAUUUUGGUAGACAGAAGGUGCUCUUUACAUUUACAUUACAUUUUAGUCAUUUAGCAGACGCUCUUAUCCAGAGCGACUUACAGUAGUGAAUGCAUACAUUUCAUAAUUGUUUUUUAUUUUAUUUGUAAUAUUUUUUUGUACUUUUUAUUUUUAAUUUUUUUGGGUAAAAGGGGUGAAUUGGUCAUCAAAAAGAAAGGAACCCAAGGCACUCUUCAUGUAAUUUAAUAAAAUGCCUUUAUUUGUAUGGCAUGUUCAAUAGAAACAAAGUUUUAAAAAUCCUACGCGUUUCGGAUUUUUUCAACUUUGUUUCUAUUGAACAUGCCAUACAAGUAAAGGCAUUUUAAUUAAUUGACUAAAUAAACAGGAUUAAACUAAUUAUUUGUUGACAUCUAAAACUCCACUGUUUUGCUCAUAGCUGCUUACCAUCCAUUGAUAUUUGCUUGUGGGCGGAGGGGUGGUGCUAUUUCGUAUUACAAUAUCUAUUUUUCCUGGUAUUCACACUAGAACCGUUUACACCUGGUUCUAACUUGCGUCCUUUGUCCUGAUCUCGCCCACAUUCUGAUUGUACCCACAUUUUUAGACAGGUGUAGACAAUCAAAAGAGACAUUGUGGCCUGAUUGUGAUCAGGUCUUCCUGACCACCUCCAGAGGUGGUCAGACACGCAUUGUGUCUGGAUAUCUUAGAAGUGUAGACAGAUCUGGACAGAGAAACCAUUUAAAUCAUAAUUAUUACGCCCUCUAAAAUCACUGACAGGUGGCACCAUUGACUGAUUACAUCAAUAUGUGUCUUACAAUAAAUAAAUACAGUAUUUUGAAAGAACAGCUGUGAAAUAAUUUGCAUAAAGGUAGGGACCAGGAAAUCUGGUCACAACGCAGACACAGUGGACAGAUAAUAGACACAUUUUAUUCUGGAAAUGUGGGCACAAUCAGAAUGUAGACAAGAUCAGGACAAAGGAUCUGUGUUAGCACCAGAUAUAAACAGGGCUACUGACAGACCAUGCUGCUGUUGCUAAGUCCAAUACCAUUACAUUUUACCUGAAAUCUGAUGUGACAAGAUUUCUUUCCUGUCUCACAACUUCUCAGGUAAAUCCCAUACAGUGCCUCGCACCGCCCAAUUUUAGCCCAAACAUUCUUUCAGGUCUUAUAAAGGACCCAGUACAGAUCAUUAAAACAUACAACUAUGACUAAUCUCCCAUGUCUCACUCUAAGCCUUUGACCUUUCCCCAAUGUAAUCUCUAUUAGAAACCAUUUAUGACUGAAAUGACUGAAAUGUACUUAACAAGUCUUGUCAUCACCGCACCUUUGUCAGUGUCUUAGCGGCCAAUUGAAUGUGAAACGGCUCACCGGGCGACAAAACCCCUACGGUGAACUUUCAGGUCUAAAGAUUUUGGUCAGGCCGGAAAGGUGGCUUCGACUGAGAGGCAGGAGCUUGGUGCGGCUCCUUUGAAAUCCCCUCAACUGUAAAAUGCAGCUGCUUUUCACAUGGAAAGGAUCUGCCCUGAGAACUGUGCCCAUGACAGCACAGUGGAUCAAAUUCCACCUCCCGGCAGGUUAUGGUCAGAAUCGGAUACUUCUGCUUUGUCAUCUGGGCCAGUAGCCUUUCUAGAAAGAGUUGGACCAAUUGAUUCUCAACCAAAUUAGUCAUUUUUAGAUGCUAAUGUAAAAGGUUUACCCAGUAAAGACUAAACCAUUGCACGAAGAUGCAUAAGCCCAUGUGAAUGAGCACAUAGCCUAGUCCUGUCAUUUUUGUUGUAGUUAGUGUAAAAAAAUCUCUCUAUAUAUUUGAAAAAAAGUCUUAGGUUUACUUGUCCAGUGCCAUUGCUUGACUUGAGCAGGAGCUCACUGGACCUGAGUACCAGCACCCUAAAUGUUCUACUGCUUGAGCUCCUGUUCCUCUUAUAAAAUAUUAUCUCAAAAGUAUUGUGGACCUCCUACACCUAAAUAUAAACAAUACCAGCACCCAAAAUGAGUAGCAGAACCUAUUUCAGUCUAAGUCAAGCACUGUCCAGUGCUCACACAGAGACCGGAUUGGAUUUUUAAAAAGAAUUAUGGCGGAGACCUAAUAUCCACCCUGAUCAGUGCUCUGAGCAUAUCCCUAUUGCUUUGUUGAAACGUACUGUACCCAUUCACUGUGCUGUACCAACUCACACACACUGAACUGUGUUCAUAUUUCAAUCAAUCACCAGGGUUAUCAGUGCACUAAUGAUGUCAUUGGUGCUAAUGGAAAAGGUGACAUGCUCACUGAAGUGGAUAAUGAUGCUAAUUAGCUAAACAUCCCAGUGAUGCACAUGUAGCAGCUCAUCAUAUCCACCAAGGACCUAUCGAUUAUCAGAAAAAAAUGGAAAAUCUAUUUUUCUGUUUGUGUGUGUGUGCAUAUGCAUUUGGUCAUAUAGAAUGAAUCCAAAACAAACCAUCACAUCGAACAUCGAUAGAAUGCCUUUCAGAUAGAAUAAUGUUUGGUUAACAUCAACAAAUAGUUUAUAUUGUUACAAUGUUUAGAUCCUAUCUAAUACAAGGAGUCAAAGCUGAACAAGAUUGAUUUAUCUAUUUCAUGACUGUUUCUGGCUAUGCCACAAUAUAGCAUUGUGUAGGCUUUGUGACG